GCGGUCAUGGCGGAAUGGUAGACGCGCUAGCUUGAGGGGCUAGUGGGAGCAAUCCCGUGGAAGUUCGAGUCUUCUUGGCCGUA
RNAcentral lists this transfer RNA (83 nucleotides) under Vagococcus penaei. It matches the Rfam family "tRNA". From Rfam's summary of the family: Transfer RNA (tRNA) molecules are approximately 80 nucleotides in length. The record is from Rfam by way of RNAcentral. Lineage: Bacteria; Bacillati; Bacillota; Bacilli; Lactobacillales; Enterococcaceae.